AAUGCCGGAUGCUCCAGUUGGAUGCAUGUCCUUCUGGGAAAGAUUCAUCGGUAUGGGAUGGGGUCGCGUCCUAUCAGCUUGAUGGCGGGGUAACGGCCCACCAUGGCUUCGACGGGUAGCCGGCCUGAGAGGGCGACCGGCCACAUUGGGACUGAGAUACGGCCCAGACUCCUACGGGAGGCAGCAGUGGGGAAUAUUGCACAAUGGGCGCAAGCCUGAUGCAGCGACGCCGCGUGCGGGAUGACGGCCUUCGGGUUGUAAACCGCUUUUGACUGGGAGCAAGCCCUUCGGGGUGAGUGUACCUUUCGAAUAAGCACCGGCUAACUACGUGCCAGCAGCCGCGGUAAUACGUAGGGUGCAAGCGUUAUCCGGAAUUAUUGGGCGUAAAGGGCUCGUAGGCGGUUCGUCGCGUCCGGUGUGAAAGUCCAUCGCUUAACGGUGGAUCCGCGCCGGGUACGGGCGGGCUUGAGUGCGGUAGGGGAGACUGGAAUUCCCGGUGUAACGGUGGAAUGUG
RNAcentral lists this ribosomal RNA (514 nucleotides) under Bifidobacterium adolescentis. RNAcentral's name for it is "bacterial SSU rRNA". It matches the Rfam family "Bacterial small subunit ribosomal RNA", at positions 165 to 690 of the family's 1533-position model. The record is from RNAcentral. Lineage: Bacteria; Bacillati; Actinomycetota; Actinomycetes; Bifidobacteriales; Bifidobacteriaceae.